This 907-nucleotide ribosomal RNA is filed under the name Lewia scrophulariae. RNAcentral's name for it is "LSU rRNA". It matches the Rfam family "Eukaryotic large subunit ribosomal RNA", at positions 38 to 962 of the family's 3401-position model. Lineage: Eukaryota; Fungi; Ascomycota; Dothideomycetes; Pleosporales; Pleosporaceae. The record is from RNAcentral.
GCAUAUCAAUAAGCGGAGGUAAAAGAAACCAACAGGGAUUGCCCUAGUAACGGCGAGUGAAGCGGCAACAGCUCAAAUUUGAAAUCUGGCUCUUUUAGAGUCCGAGUUGUAAUUUGCAGAGGGCGCUUUGGCUUUGGCAGCGGUCCAAGUUCCUUGGAACAGGACGUCACAGAGGGUGAGAAUCCCGUACGUGGUCGCUGGCUAUUGCCGUGUAAAGCCCCUUCGACGAGUCGAGUUGUUUGGGAAUGCAGCUCUAAAUGGGAGGUACAUUUCUUCUAAAGCUAAAUAUUGGCCAGAGACCGAUAGCGCACAAGUAGAGUGAUCGAAAGAUGAAAAGCACUUUGGAAAGAGAGUCAAACAGCACGUGAAAUUGUUGAAAGGGAAGCGCUUGCAGCCAGACUUGCUUGCAGUUGCUCAUCCGGGCUUUUGCCCGGUGCACUCUUCUGCAGGCAGGCCAGCAUCAGUUUGGGCGGUAGGAUAAAGGUCUCUGUCACGUACCUCUCUUCGGGGAGGCCUUAUAGGGGAGACGACAUACUACCAGCCUGGACUGAGGUCCGCGCAUCUGCUAGGAUGCUGGCGUAAUGGCUGUAAGCGGCCCGUCUUGAAACACGGACCAAGGAGUCUAACAUCUAUGCGAGUGUUUGGGUGUCAAGCCCGAGCGCGUAAUGAAAGUGAACGGAGGUAGGAACCCGCAAGGGUGCACUAUCGACCGAUCCUGAUGUCUUCGGAAGGAUUUGAGUAAGAGCAUGGCUGUUGGGACCCGAAAGAUGGUGAACUAUGCUUGAAUAGGGUGAAGCCAGAGGAAACUCUGGUGGAGGCUCGCAGCGGUUCUGACGUGCAAAUCGAUCGUCAAAUUUGGGCAUAGGGGCGAAAGACUAAUCGAACUAUCUAGUAGCUGGUUCCUGCG